RNAcentral lists this ribosomal RNA (253 nucleotides) under uncultured bacterium. RNAcentral's name for it is "partial 16S ribosomal RNA". It matches the Rfam family "Bacterial small subunit ribosomal RNA", at positions 524 to 776 of the family's 1533-position model. The record is from RNAcentral.
UACAGAGGUUGCAAGCGUUAAUCGGAAUUACUGGGCGUAAAGCGCGCGUAGGUGGCAAGUUAAGUUGGAUGUGAAAGCCCUGGGCUCAACCUGGGAACUGCAUUUGGGACUGUAAGGCUAGAGUGUGUCAGAGGGAGGUGGAAUUCCACGUGUAGCAGUGAAAUGCGUAGAUAUGUGGAGGAACAUCUAUGGCGAAGGCAGCCUCCUGGGAUAACACUGACGCUCAUGCACGAAAGCGUGGGGAGCAAACAGG